AGAAUCAACGCUGGCGGCGUGCCUAACACAUGCAAGUCGAACGCGAAAGUCCCGCAAGGGAUUAGUAGAGUGGCAAACGGGUGAGUAACACGUGGGUGACCUGCCUUCGAGUGGGGGAUAACGUCCCGAAAGGGACGCUAAUACCGCAUGAUAUCCUGUCUUUGGAAAGAUGGAGAUCAAAGCUGGGGAUUCGCAAGAACCUGGCGCUUGAAGAGGGGCCCGCGCCUGAUUAGCUAAGUUGGUAGGUAACGGCCUACCAAGGCGACGAUCAGUA
RNAcentral lists this ribosomal RNA (274 nucleotides) under uncultured soil bacterium. RNAcentral describes it as "partial 16S ribosomal RNA". It matches the Rfam family "Bacterial small subunit ribosomal RNA", at positions 26 to 285 of the family's 1533-position model. The record is from RNAcentral.